Molecule: unclassified non-coding RNA, 214 nt
Filed under: Hevea brasiliensis (rubber tree)
Lineage: Eukaryota; Viridiplantae; Streptophyta; Magnoliopsida; Malpighiales; Euphorbiaceae
Source: RNAcentral
GGGAGACAUUGUGUGGUGCCCAUGGCUAUCUAUGUGAAUGUGAUAAAACACCCUGUAACAAUUAAGAAAUUGGAGAAAUCCAGGAGAGUGAGGAUUUGAUUCUUGAAGGAUUUGAUUCUUGAUAUUGCAUGCUAACAUUAAGAAUAACAUGGGGAAGGAUGAAGGAGAAAGAAGAUGAAGAAGCUGUGUGUGCUGUUGAAAGUGGAGGAGAAAG